CCAGCAGAGCUCACCUGAGGCCUCUCUAUGCCCUCACUCAUGAGUCAAGGGCUUUGCCAGUUGAGUCUGAACAGGGGAGCAGUGAGUGAGACCAAUUGGUAAUUGGGCGUGGCGUUCUGAAGGCCAGUGGUCUCCAGUUUUGCAAAAAAUGUGAUUUAGAAUUUCUACAUGAGUGAAAACAAUGGAAUAGUGCUCAGAGUUUAGCAGUCUGGAGUCUUCUGGUUGAUUCAUGAGCUUCAAGUUUUCAGAAUUGUGUGCGUAGUUCCAUUUUUUGU
Long non-coding RNA from Gadus macrocephalus (Pacific cod), 275 nucleotides. RefSeq lists it as uncharacterized. NCBI's taxonomy places the organism in Eukaryota, Metazoa, Chordata, Actinopteri, Gadiformes, Gadidae. The transcript is spliced from 2 exons. The record is from RefSeq and is a predicted model, not a curated record.